UGCCUUCGCCAUCGGUGUUCCUCCGCAUAUCUACGCAUUUCACUGCUACACGCGGAAUUCCAUCCCCCUCUACCGUACUCUAGCCAUGCAGUCACAAAUGCAGUUCCCAGGUUGAGCCCGGGGAUUUCACAUCUGUCUUACAUAACCGCCUGCGCACGCUUUACGCCCAGUAAUUCCGAUUAACGCUCGCACCCUACGUAUUACCGCGGCUGCUGGCACGUAGUUAGCCGGUGCUUAUUCUUACGGUACCGUCAUGGGCCUCUCGUAUUAGGAGAAGCUUUUUCGUUCCGUACAAAAGCAGUUUACAACCCGAAGGCCUUCAUCCUGCACGCGGCAUUGCUGGAUCAGGCUUUCGCCCAUUGUCCAAAAUUCCCCACUGCUGCCUCCCGUAGGAGUCUGGGCCGUGUCUCAGUCCCAGUGUGGCUGGUCGUCCUCUCAGACCAGCUACAGAUCGUCGGCUUGGUAAGCUUUUAUCCCACCAACUACCUAAUCUGCCAUCGGCCGCUCCAAUCGCGCGAGGCCCGAAGGUCCCCCGCUUUCAUCCUCAGAUCGUAUGCGGUAUUAGCUACUCUUUCGAGUAGUUAUCCCCCACGACUGGGCACGUUCCGAUGUAUUACUCACCCGUUCGCCACUCGUCAGCGUCCGAAGACCUGUUACCGUUCGACUUGCAUGUGUAAGGCAUGCCGCCAGCGUUCAAU
RNAcentral lists this ribosomal RNA (698 nucleotides) under Delftia acidovorans. RNAcentral describes it as "partial 16S rRNA". The record is from RNAcentral. Lineage: Bacteria; Pseudomonadati; Pseudomonadota; Betaproteobacteria; Burkholderiales; Comamonadaceae.